UGGGGAAUAUUGCACAAUGGGCGCAAGCCUGAUGCAGCCAUGCCGCGUGUAUGAAGAAGGCCUUCGGGUUGUAAAGUACUUUCAGUCGGGAGGAAGGUGGUAAGGUUAAUAACCUUAUCAAUUGACGUUACCGACAGAAGAAGCACCGGCUAACUCCGUGCCAGCAGCCGCGGUAAUACGGAGGGUGCAAGCGUUAAUCGGAAUUACUGGGCGUAAAGCGCACGCAGGCGGUUGAUUGAGUCAGAUGUGAAAUCCCCGGGCUUAACCCGGGAAUUGCAUCUGAUACUGGUCAGCUAGAGUCUUGUAGAGGGGGGUAGAAUUCCAUGUGUAGCGGUGAAAAGCGUAGAGAUGUGGAGGAAUACCGGUGGCGAAGGCGGCCCCCUGGACAAAGACUGACGCUCAGGUGCGAAAGCGUGGGGAGCAAACAGG
This 429-nucleotide ribosomal RNA is filed under the name Chloroflexota bacterium. RNAcentral describes it as "Chloroflexi bacterium partial 16S ribosomal RNA". It matches the Rfam family "Bacterial small subunit ribosomal RNA", at positions 355 to 776 of the family's 1533-position model. Lineage: Bacteria; Bacillati; Chloroflexota. The record is from RNAcentral.